AGGUAAAACUGAUAUUUAGCUAAAACUGGAAAUGGAAUUUGAGCUCUCAGCAGCCAUUAUUGUUGCCAGAACCACAGGUUCCCCUUUUGAUCACAAAUUCUUUUCUCAGACAAUUCACCUCUUUCCUGAUAGGUCCCCCUGUUCACGUCUAUCACCACAAUGACUUUGCUUCUCCAAUACCACUAGUCCUGAAAAGGUCCCAUCUUGGACAACUUACAACCAUCCUAUUCUGCUUUUCUUGACCAAAAGAGAUAUUUUUUGCCCAAAUAUGUAUCUUUUAGCUCCAUGAUUCCUCCUUACAGAAAUUUAGAACAAGUUCUCAGGAACUAAGCAAGAGGCGUUUGAUUGACAUAAUUUGCAUUUAAAUGUGUUCUUCACCAUCACUAAUUAACUAGUGUUUCAGACAAGAUAUAGUACUCAACUUUUAUUCUCUGCUUACUUCAGGGUUGCCAU
Molecule: long non-coding RNA, 453 nt
Filed under: Bos taurus (domestic cattle)
Lineage: Eukaryota; Metazoa; Chordata; Mammalia; Artiodactyla; Bovidae
Description: long non-coding RNA NONBTAT026898
Source: RNAcentral